RNAcentral lists this ribosomal RNA (497 nucleotides) under uncultured bacterium. Its description in RNAcentral is "partial 16S ribosomal RNA". It matches the Rfam family "Bacterial small subunit ribosomal RNA", at positions 28 to 507 of the family's 1533-position model. The record is from RNAcentral.
GAUGAACGCUGGCGGCGUGCCUAAUACAUGCAAGUCGAGCGAACGGACGAGAAGCUUGCUUCUCUGAUGUUAGCGGCGGACGGGUGAGUAACACGUGGAUAACCUACCUAUAAGACUGGGAUAACUUCGGGAAACCGGAGCUAAUACCGGAUAAUAUUUUGAACCGCAUGGUUCAAAAGUGAAAGACGGUCUUGCUGUCACUUAUAGAUGGAUCCGCGCUGCAUUAGCUAGUUGGUAAGGUAACGGCUUACCAAGGCAACGAUGCAUAGCCGACCUGAGAGGGUGAUCGGCCACACUGGAACUGAGACACGGUCCAGACUCCUACGGGACGCAGCAGUAGGGAAUCUUCCGCAAUGGGCGAAAGCCUGACGGAGCAACGCCGCGUGAGUGAUGAAGGUCUUCGGAUCGUAAAACUCUGUUAUUAGGGAAGAACAUAUGUGUAAGUAACUGUGCACAUCUUGACGGUACCUAAUCAGAAAGCCACGGCUAACUACGUG